RNAcentral lists this ribosomal RNA (252 nucleotides) under uncultured bacterium. Its description in RNAcentral is "partial 16S ribosomal RNA". It matches the Rfam family "Bacterial small subunit ribosomal RNA", at positions 524 to 775 of the family's 1533-position model. The record is from RNAcentral.
UACGUAGGGUGCAAGCGUUGUCCGGAAUUAUUGGGCGUAAAGAGCGUGUAGGCGGCCCGAUUAGUCCGCUGUGAAAGUCCAGGGCUCAACCCUGGAAUGCCGGUGGAUACUGUCGGGCUAGAGUCCGGAAGGGGCGAGUGGAAUUCCUGGUGUAGCGGUGAAAUGCGCAGAUAUCAGGAGGAACACCAAUGGCGAAGGCAGCUCGCUGGGUCGAGACUGACGCUGAGGCGCGAAAGCGUGGGGAGCAAACAG